AAGUCACCUAUUUUGCAGGGAUUUUAUGAGACCUGAAGAUUAAGGAACUUUCGCUGCUAUUCGUACCAGUUUCAUGUCUGUUAAUGUUUUGUGAUCCUCAAAGGCCCAAUGCCAUUGUAUGCAAAAAAUCAGGGUGAGGAGAGACAUGUCCAUGCUUUGGGGUAGAUUGUUCUUCACUUGCUUUUCAUCUAUCCUGUUCAUAUUUCUCUCCUGAAUUCCAGAACACCGAGCACUGUUCUGGAGUUUCAGAAGGGGACUUUAUGCUGUCAGAAAGGAGGAUGACGUGGGCCCCCUGCAAGUGGACAGUCAGGGCAUGAUGGUUUAACUCCAGCCACCCAGAAGGAGUCAGGUCCAGAUUUGGAUAACUGUAUAUCCACACUAGAGGCUCUUAUUUUAACAAAAGCCAAAUGAGAUUAACUCAGGAGCUAUGACCCAACCUUUCCACGAGGUGAUCAGAGGAGAUCCUACAUGAAUAAACACUGCCCCUGUCAGCCGUGUGGACAUUUUGAUUUUUGUUUUUUCCUCUCUGAACCACCCAGUACAUCGUAGCCAGGUCUAAUAACCCUACAGAGCAGCAGCCAAUGGUUCUCUGCUGACUCCAGGGGUGGGCUCACCUCCAGCCUGCCACGGUGAUUGUCAGCUGCCCUGUGCUGCAGUUCACCCUUUGUCAGAGAUAAGAAUGGAUUAUUCUCUGUGUUCUGGACCAGAUUCUAGAAUGUUUCUAGAAUGUAUACCAGGCAGUACCACUUCCUUCUUGGUUCACUCAGAGGAAGACCCCCCAACCUGCAAGGGGACUAAGUCAAAGCUACCAAAUUCAACUUUGACCUUCUCUGGUGACUCAGUUUUCUUUCCAAUACUCUAAUUUCUUCUAGCGAUGGCCUGCAUCACACCAAGAACCGCCA
This 902-nucleotide long non-coding RNA is filed under the name Bos taurus (domestic cattle). RNAcentral's name for it is "long non-coding RNA NONBTAT008111". The record is from RNAcentral. Lineage: Eukaryota; Metazoa; Chordata; Mammalia; Artiodactyla; Bovidae.